RNAcentral lists this ribosomal RNA (252 nucleotides) under uncultured bacterium. RNAcentral describes it as "partial 16S ribosomal RNA". It matches the Rfam family "Bacterial small subunit ribosomal RNA", at positions 524 to 775 of the family's 1533-position model. The record is from RNAcentral.
UACGUAGGGGGCGAGCGUUGUCCGGAGUUACUGGGCGUAAAGGGCACGCAGGCGGUCGCGUCAGUUUGGGGUUACAGCUCCCGGCUUAACUGGGAGAGCGCCUCGAAGACGGCGUGACUUGAGGACUUCAGAGGGACACAGAAUUCCGGGUGUAGUGGUGAAAUGCGUAGAUAUCCGGAGGAAUACCAAAGGCGAAGGCAGUGUCCUGGGGAGUACCUGACGCUCAGGGGCGAAAGCUAGGGGAGCGAACGG